This 417-nucleotide long non-coding RNA is filed under the name Malus domestica (apple). RNAcentral describes it as "long non-coding RNA (MDOM_LNC015592)". The record is from RNAcentral. Lineage: Eukaryota; Viridiplantae; Streptophyta; Magnoliopsida; Rosales; Rosaceae.
AGUAUAAAGCACGUGAAGUUCACUAUUAAAUCAUCCAACGGUUGCUGACAAGAGUGAAAGAAUAGUACCGGUUAUUAAUUCCUAUAAAUGGCACCCUUCACCCUCCAUUUCAAGGCAGACAUACAUAACCCUUCUUCUUCUCCGAAAAUGCCUUUCCAACAAACCCUCUCGAGUCACUCAAUGUUCCUUAUUCCUAGGGGUACCUCUGCAAACAACUCAUCUAAAGCAAAAGUAUUUCAUAUCAUGAAGGUUGAAAGCAAGAGUAUCUCAUAUCAUGUUUUCUCCAUGUCCUUCUCUUUGUCAUUAUUUUGGGACAAGGAGAAAGAGAGCAAUCAGCCAGCACUUGGUAUCAAUCUUUCGAUCUGGAACCGACUGCCUGGAACCCCUUCCUGAUUACUUACCUAGCCUUGGUCUCGA